This 617-nucleotide ribosomal RNA is filed under the name Hepatozoon felis. RNAcentral's name for it is "SSU rRNA". It matches the Rfam family "Eukaryotic small subunit ribosomal RNA", at positions 193 to 798 of the family's 1831-position model. Lineage: Eukaryota; Apicomplexa; Hepatozoidae. The record is from RNAcentral.
UAGAAGAGAUGCAUUUAUUAGAUAAAAAACCAAUACAUGCUUUUAAAGUAUGGAAUUUGGUGAUUUACAAUAACUUAGCAAAUCGCAUAGUGAAAACAGGCGAUAAAUCAUUCAAGUUUCUGACCUAUCAGCUUUCGACGGUAUGGUAUUGGCUUACCGUGGCAGUGACGGUUAACGGGGGAUUAGGGUUCGAUUCCGGAGAGGGAGCCUGAGAAACGGCUACCACAUCUAAGGAAGGCAGCAGGCGCGCAAAUUACCCAAUUCUAACAGCAUAAGAGAGGUAGUGACAAGAAAUAACAAUACAAGGCAGUUAAAAUGCUUUGUAAUUGGAAUGAUAGAAAUUUAAACACUUUUUAAAGUAUCAAUUGGAGGGCAAGUCUGGUGCCAGCAGCCGCGGUAAUUCCAGCUCCAAUAGCGUAUAUUAAAAUUGUUGCAGUUAAAAAGCUCGUAGUUGAAUUUCUGCUAAAAAUAACCGGUCUGCUUUUAAUAAAGGUGGUAUCUUGGUGUGUUUUUAGCAAUAAUGUCCUUUGAAAUGUUUUUUACUUCAUUGUAAUAAAUUAUUUUCAGGAUUUUUACUUUGAGAAAAUUAGAGUGUUUCUAGCAGGCUAACGCUUUGA